This 1913-nucleotide long non-coding RNA is filed under the name Homo sapiens (human). Its description in RNAcentral is "non-protein coding lnc-NTSR2-5:15". The record is from RNAcentral. Lineage: Eukaryota; Metazoa; Chordata; Mammalia; Primates; Hominidae.
AGUCCUGGAAAUGAUCUUGAUGCUAUCUGUUCCUCGUUACAGCAGACCUGCUCAACUUCAGCAGCUAGAAGGAGGAUUGUCUUUCACCAGCUGCAGGAGCCUGUUCCCACUACAAGCCUGGUGGAGUCUUCGGAGCAGAUGUGACUGUCCUACUUGUAUAGAGAAGAGAAACUGAGGCUCAGAAGAGAUGCCUGGCUGAGUUUAAUAGGACUGCAACAACAAUUUUGCCUUUCUACUUUCUGACCGUUUGCAAAGAAAUUUCCUAAACAUCACCACUGAGGCUCCUUCCAGCAAUGACUCUGGUCCAUCAUUGGGAUUGCUGAGCAGCUGUUUCAUAACAUGAACAAGGAUGUUUUAACCAUGUUUCUUGACCUGGCCAUUUGGAUCCCAAGGAUGUUUUGGUCCAAGAAUAAAUUCCAGAGCUUAGCUCACCGAAGAAGACAGGAAAACUUGUCAGAUGGGGAAGGAUGUGUCAAGAGCAUGCACACAGAUUUACUCUUCAGCUAGAAGCUCCAAUUCCUAGAUGAUCUGAAUCCAACUCAGAGUGCUUGCACCUGUUUCCUGCCACACAGCUAGAGCUGUCCAGUGAGAGAGACAUGAUGGCCCAGCUUGAAAAAGAAAUUGAGGAUAGCAAGUGUAACAUACCAAGCAUUCCACGAGCAGUGUCCCUCUAGGUUCUCUGAUUGGCUGAAGCUACUCUAAGCCAAGAGAUCAAAGAAGCUGAUAAUGUAGAAUGUAAGUUUGUCUCCUGGGCCACAAUGGAAAGCAGAGACUGUAGCUGGAGGAGUGAAUAGAGGAUAUGCAGCUCUGGUAAUUCUCAGUACAAUUCCCAGUGGUCCACUCUGCAGAAUGAACCAAGUUCCAUUUUGCCCAACUUCUGGCAGUCCACAUUUGGACUGUGAGCUCACCUACAGAUAAAUCGUACGUGGAUUGAUGCAGUAACUGGAUUUGUAGCUGCUAAAUCUUAUUUAAGUGAGGACCUGUCCAGUACAUGUGAAGACCACCCAUCCACUGAAAGUGAUAAGUGAAGCUGAAUCAAUACUAGACUGAAUCAAUACUGAGCUGAAUCAAUACUUUCCCAAUUUUGAGGAAAUCUUGGAAAAUCUCUGAGAAAUGUGGUAGUAAUUAUUUUGAAGAAUUGGAAAACUUUAUAGCUGAUUAUGCUAUGUGUGGAAGAUACAACAGGAUUAUAAGAGAGAGAAGACAAUAUCCUUGCUGUGUCCAGAAGGCUUUAGCCGGGGUGUCCUACUGAGAGAUGACAAACUUAAGGUUUUUCUCUUCCCAGACAUUACUGGACAACUAGCUAUGUAAUUAGGUCUUAUGCCGAAAAGACUGAAAGGAAAACAUCUCAGAUCUAGGAAUGUGAUCAAGAAAGAAGGCUGGUUAAAGAAUAACAUGGGGAAAAUGAAUGCAGUGAAAUGGUUCACGCACAAGUUCUAGGAAUUCAGAGUGCAACAGCAGAAAUGCGAUUUUUGUUAGAUAUUUCAGAAAGUGAUGUGAGUCCCUGAGGUCAUACUGCAGCGUUCAGGUUCUGUUUGGCCUCCUGCACGAAGCUUUCCUUGAUUGGAAAAGCUGCAUACUCUGAAGCACAUCGCAUGUGUCCUGUCUGUAGUUCAUUUCAUUUCCCCAGAUUUGUUAUCAUCCACCAUCACUCAUACAAGCCUACCUUCUUCAUGCCAACCUUUGUAAUCUUUCUACCUUGCUAACCUGGUCAUGUCAAGGACCAGCUAAUAAAUAGCAAAGUUGUACCUUGAGCCAAGGUAUCUUGACUCUUAGUCCAGUGCUCUUUAUAUACCUCUGAAGUCUUAUUUGAGCUUCAAAAUUAUGAGUCUGUGCUCUCAAGAUUUUUUUGAAAAUGUACUUAAUGUUGCCCCUAAGCUUUUAUGAGAAAUAAUAAAGUUCUUUCCAGAUUG